CCUACGGGUGGCUGCAGUGAGGAAUAUUGGUCAAUGGGCGCGAGCCUGAACCAGCCAAGUAGCGUGAAGGAUGACUGCCCUACGGGGUGUAAACUUCUGUUAUAAAGGAAGAAAGUGAGGCACGUGUGCCGUUUUGGAUGUACUGUAUGAAUAAGGAUAGGCUAACUCCGUGCCAGCAGCCGCGGUAAUACGGAGGAUCCGAGCGUUAUCCGGAUUUAUUGGGGUUAAAGGGAGCGUAGAUGGGUUGUUAAGUCAGUUGGGAAAGUUUGCGGCUCAACCGUAAAAUUGCAAUUGAUACUGGCAGUCUUUAGUACAGUUGCGGUCGGCGGAUUUCGUGGUGUAGCUGUG
RNAcentral lists this ribosomal RNA (348 nucleotides) under uncultured bacterium. RNAcentral's name for it is "partial 16S ribosomal RNA". It matches the Rfam family "Bacterial small subunit ribosomal RNA", at positions 338 to 683 of the family's 1533-position model. The record is from RNAcentral.